AAAUUAAAAAGACUAUUGAAAAUUAGAGUAAUCAAAAAACAAGUAGGGGAAAAAAAACAAAAAAGCUGAAAAAUAGUAGAGUAGGGAAUCGAACCUAAGACCAAGGCACAGCCUUACUAAGGACUCAACCACCAAACCAUAUUCAAUAUUGUGAUAUUUACUGUAAGUAUAUGAUAUUUAUAGCCUUUUACUGUAUUUUCUUGAUUUUUUUUUUUUUAAAAAAAAAAACUUUUUUUUCGAAAAUGGGGGGACAACUGUCCCCCCUUGUUCUAAUGUGGCUCCGCCAAUGGUUGAAGUAGAUUAAUUUGCUAUUAAUUAAAUUGUCUUAAUAUUGAUGUCUCAUCAAAAAGAUUGUUUUUUUCAUUGAAUAUAGGAAUUCUUUUGUUAUUGAGGUUUUCGUAAAAAGUGAAAAACGAUACCUAAAUUGAAGAUUAUGGAUUAGGUUUUAUAUUUAAUCAGAUUAUGGCAUAUUUUGCUGACAUUUUGUUGAAUGCGGGAACUUUUUCAUUCCAACUUUGAUAGAGAUGCUAUAAAGGGCUCUUGAAUCUUCUAAAGGUAUUUCAUUGGCAAAUGGGCUAAGAGUUUUUUUUUGGGAACUUUAUACAUUCAACUAUUUCUCUGAAUUAAUUAAAGGAAAAAUUGCCCAGAAUAAUCCGACCUUUGCCUCGUCCGCCCAAAAUAAUUCCACCUUUCGAUUAUUUUUCAAUAAUCCGACCUUUAUACCCAAUCUGCUCUUAAUGGACCCAAGUGACCGGUUAACUGAUAAAUAAGUAAUUUUAUUGAAUUUUUGAUUUAAAAUUUAUGUGUCACUAUAUAAUUUGUCUAAACUUUUAAAUUAAAAAAAAUUAUAAAAAAAAUUGCAGCCACCCAGUCACUCCCUCCCUCAAUCCCAGCCACCGUGAGAUUGAAGGAGAAACUGUGACAUUGGAGUAGCAACCGUGACAUCGAAGCUCGGUUACCGUCGUCGCUAUUGUGGGUAGUCUGGGCGACUGAAAUUGGGGCAGGGGAAGGUGAGGGAGGCCGAAAUAGUUGCCAUGGGUUCUUCAAAUUGAGCCAAAAUUGGCUGAAAUUAGGGCUGCUAGAGGUUCAUUCAUGGCGGCAGAUUGCUGCAGUUUGAAUUGCAGUGGAUGAGCGGUUUUUGGUGCAGUUGUGAUUGGUGGUUGCUGCUGCAAUUGCGGGCUUGUGAAUUGGAGAUGGCUAGUGGUUGUAUACACGGUAUGAGUGAGGUGGUCUGGUGGUGUAAUGUGGAAAGUUGUGGAUUGUGGUAUCGGGGUGUGUGGCUGGUGCGAGGUGAGGCUAUGGGUGAGAGAUGGUUAGGGCUACUUGCGGUGGCCGGAAUUGGCGGCGUUGUGGCUGGUCGCUGCUGUGUUGAAUGAGGAACAGGGGAAGCAAGGGUGUGGCGUGUUUGGUUGGCAAAAGGGGUUGGUGAUUCAAGGGAGAAUGGUCAGGCGAGCGCGGCUCCGGUGUCGGCUUCGGCGUUAGGUUAGGGGUCUGGGUGACCGGAGCGACGAGGCAGCUCAAGGAAGCUAGGCAGGGAAAGGGAAUUUAAUUUUUUUUUAAAAAAAAAAUCUUUAAGAAACUUUAACUUUUCUAAUAUUUAUUUUUAUUUUUAUUUUUUUUUGAAAAAUCACGAACCGACACGUGUCAAUUAACUUGUUAUAGCAAGUUGCAUGACCGGUUAGGACCAUUUUGAGCAGAUUGAUAUCAAAGGUCGGAUUAUUUAAAAAUAAUCGAAAGGUGGGAUUAUUUUGGGCGGAUGAGGUAAAGGUCGGAUUAUUCUGGGCAAUUUUUCCUUAAUUAAAUUAGUGUAAUGGUUUUGCUUUUGCUACAUAGCUUAUUGAACUUAAUAGGUAAUUAGGGAGUAGUAAUAAGUGGAUGUCUACUAAUCCAUUGUAUGUACUUGACUUGCUUAAGUAAGAAAAUUCGACAAAUAUUAUACCUAGAAUUGAUUUUCCAUGUAAGAAGGGUUAGUGCACCGUGCCCCUAUGGCUGCUCCAAAGCCAGUGAUAUAUCUAUUAUAUUUUAACUACCGUUUUCUAUUGAGUUGUGCAAUUUCUGUCUUCUUUUUAAGGUUUUAUAAAAUGUGUUAACUCUUGUUGCAAGCUUGUCAUCUUUAGACUUCAAAACGGAAGAGGUAUUUGUUUUAUCCUUAUAUAUUCGUUCAUUUUAGAAGAAUGAACAACGAUACUUUGGGUUUAAUCACACCACUUGUUAUUUUAUUUCCAUUACAUAGCUGGGUGCAAUUUUUAGUGUCAGGAUGGUGGUGGUACGGAUAAAGCACCUACAUCAAAACACAAGCCCAUGAUAAAACAGGAGGUGCUACUAACUCUUGUUGGGGAAGUUAAUCAAGUGGCCCCUGUGAUGAAGAAGAAAUUUAGUCUUAAAUAGAGAGUUAGAAGACCCCGGGAUUGAACAGACGAGCUUGCUGAGUCUGAAAUAAUACUGAUUAUCCUCUCUAAAGAAAUUCGUCAUCAAUGAGAUUGGAAUAAGCAAUGUAGCUGCAACAAGAGAAUAGACCGGGACACUUGAGCAUCAAAACAAGCGACUACAUCAUCUAUAACGCCAUCAUCUAUCUAUUUUGGUUAUUAGUCUUAAUUAUAUUAGUGAUGUAUUUAUUUAGGGACAAGCUACUAUAAUAUGCGACGUUUUUUUUAAUUAAUUGUGUUGAUGUUUUCGUUUAUAAAUUUGGUAAUU
Molecule: long non-coding RNA, 2694 nt
Organism: Chenopodium quinoa (quinoa)
Lineage: Eukaryota; Viridiplantae; Streptophyta; Magnoliopsida; Caryophyllales; Amaranthaceae
Exons: 3
Source: RefSeq, a predicted model, not a curated record